RNAcentral lists this ribosomal RNA (503 nucleotides) under uncultured bacterium. RNAcentral's name for it is "partial 16S ribosomal RNA". It matches the Rfam family "Bacterial small subunit ribosomal RNA", at positions 29 to 523 of the family's 1533-position model. The record is from RNAcentral.
AUUGAACGCUGGCGGCACGCCUAACACAUGCAAGUCGAGCGGCAGCGAGAGUAGUAGCAAUACUACUUGUCGGCGAGCGGCGGACGGGUGAGGAACACGUAGGGACCUGCCUUAGAGCGGGGGACAACCAAGGGAAACUUGGCUAAUACCGCAUAAUCUCGAGAGAGAAAAGCUGCCCGCAAGGGUGGCGCUUUAAGAGGGGCCUGCGUCCGAUUAGCUAGUUGGUGAGGUAACGGCUCACCAAGGCGAUAAUCGGUAACUGGUCUGAGAGGACGACCAGUCACACUGGGACUGAGACACGGCCCAGACUCCUACGGGAGGCAGCAGUGGGGAAUCUUGGACAAUGGGGGCAACCCUGAUCCAGCGAUGCCGCGUGGGUGAAGAAGGCCUUCGGGUUGUAAAGCCCUUUAGGCCGGGAAGGAGGGUGGCAGUUUAAGAGACAGUCAUUUUGACGGUACCGGCAGAAUAAGCACCGGCAAACUCUGUGCCAGCCGCCGCCGUAA